AUGACUCAUCCCAAACGCUCGGAUGCCUCCGCCCGCUCCUCCCUCGACCGCGCCGGUCACCGGAGCCCGCCGACCCGAUUCCCUCAACCGCGACUCUGGCAUGUCACGUCCCCACCACCAACUUGCUGCUGCUCCGCCCCAGCUUGCCUCCGCUCAAGCUGCCGACCAUCUCCAGCCGCGGGCCAGCGUUGUCGCUCCCCGACCUCCUCUGCUUCACCUCGAGGCCCAGAUCCUCGCCCAGCAGGAGCUCUGCCCCGCACCCGCAAGGUCUUGACUGCGCUUGGACCGGGCCUGGAUCCGCCACGACCCUCGUUAUUCUUCUUCUUCUAUGUCGAGUACAAGACCGUCAAGUACAACUACACUACGUUGAUACUGGAACCGUUACCGUCGACCUCCGAAAAACAUGGGUUUGCCGAGUACUCCUUCGUUUUGUCAAGACCGCCAAGUCCCACAACGAACAUGUACAACUGCUCACGCCCGAAGACCUUGGAUGCACUAAGUUCCACUACGAGAUGUACCACUACCGUCGUUGGAGACCCGUUUCAUCAAGUUCAACUACACGGCUAUGACCUCGGAUUUGGAUUGCAAGCGCCAAGUACCCCAACAACAGGAUCACAUAGACGCCCGAACGACUACUAA
RNAcentral lists this ribosomal RNA (639 nucleotides) under Triticum aestivum (bread wheat). RNAcentral describes it as "partial small subunit ribosomal RNA". Lineage: Eukaryota; Viridiplantae; Streptophyta; Magnoliopsida; Poales; Poaceae. The record is from RNAcentral.